UUACACCGUCAGAGUUAUCUGGAUACUUCCCACCAACACCAACCUAUCCGAACUCCGGAGAUGGGAACUCGCCCUUCAGUAUAUCCUCUCUUCUCGAUAUCCGCCAGGCCUCAACCUCCGCUAAUUUCAAGUUGCCGCCACUCAUACCUCACCUGUCUUUCAACAACUUCUUUGCCUCUGUACUUCCGCCUCGACUGACAUCUCUGCCCCUACUCUUUGCCUUUAAAUAUGUCUGCUUGUGUCUGUGUAUGUGCGGAUGGAUAUGUGUGUGUGUGUGCGAGUGUACAUCUGUCCUUUUUUUCCCCUAAGGGAAGUCUUUCCGCUCCCGGGAUUGGAAUGACUCCUUACCCUCUCCCUUAAAACCCACAUCCUUUCAUUUUUCCCUCUCCUUCCUUCCUUCCUGACGAAGCAACUGCCAGUUGCGAAAGCUCGUAAUUCUGUGUGUGUGUUUGUGUGUUUUGUUCAUGUGCCUGUCUGCCGGCGCUUUCCCGCUUGCUUCUCUCCUGCAUUGAUGCUUAGGUAAUGCUUUCAAAAAAGGAUGGCUAUAGUGAUCCUGAAUUUGGCAUUGAAUUUAGUGGCUCAGAAAGUGAAAAGAAUGUGAAAUAAAUAGAUCCACAGUGCUCCAGCCAGCCGCUCCAAGAUUUAUGUUCACAGGAAAUCACUGUAAAACACAUGGCCAGACUUCAUAGCUACACAGAAACUAAAAAAUAACCUCAAGUCUCAGGAUAUUUUCGUCAAAGUCCAGUGUGGUUAAGAUACUCCAGGAAUGUAAACCAAUCAAGUUUCCCAGCUGAAAAUGGAAUGCACGGUUUCUCAUGAAAAAGUCUCAUUUAAACAAGUGAAUACCUUGAAAGCUAGUUCAUAAGCAAAUUUCAAAAUCAUCUACCUUGUCAUAUCAUUACAAAACUUUUUCAAUCAACAAAAAGAUAAAAUAAAGGGAACACUGACGACACAGUAUUAUUAAAUGAGAUUAAACAAAAUAA
Molecule: long non-coding RNA, 983 nt
Organism: Schistocerca gregaria
Lineage: Eukaryota; Metazoa; Arthropoda; Insecta; Orthoptera; Acrididae
Exons: 3
Source: RefSeq, a predicted model, not a curated record